This 445-nucleotide ribosomal RNA is filed under the name uncultured bacterium. RNAcentral describes it as "partial 16S ribosomal RNA". It matches the Rfam family "Bacterial small subunit ribosomal RNA", at positions 354 to 796 of the family's 1533-position model. The record is from RNAcentral.
GUGAGGAAUAUUGGACAAUGGGCGCAAGCCUGAUCCAGCCAUGCCGCGUGCAGGAAGACGCAUCUAUGGUGUGUAAACUGCUUUUGUACGGGAAGAAACACUCCCUCGUGAGGGAGCUUGACGGUACCGUAAGAAUAAGGAUCGGCUAACUCCGUGCCAGCAGCCGCGGUAAUACGGAGGAUCCAAGCGUUAUCCGGAAUCAUUGGGUUUAAAGGGUCCGUAGGCGGUUUAAUAAGUCAGUGGUGAAAGCCCAUCGCUCAACGAUGGAACGGCCAUUGAUACUGUUAGACUUGAAUUACAAGGAAGUAACUAGAAUAUGUAGUGUAGCGGUGAGAUGCUUAGAUAUUACAUGGAAUACCAAUUGCGAAGGCAGGUUACUACUUGUGGAUUGACGCUGAUGGACGAAAGCGUGGGGAGCGAACAGGAUUAGAUACCCGUGUAGUCC